AUACUUACCUGGUGCUGGGGUGGACGUGUUCACGAAAGCGCCGCCUCCAGGUUGAGGCGUGGCCAUUGCACUGCGGCCGCAGCUGACACCUGCCACGGAGCCUUAGCGGUGACGUGGGGCAUUUAAUUUUUGCCUGGCGGGGCACAGCGUGCGCGCUACGCCCCGC
Molecule: small nuclear RNA, 166 nt
Filed under: Haemaphysalis longicornis (longhorned tick)
Lineage: Eukaryota; Metazoa; Arthropoda; Arachnida; Ixodida; Ixodidae
Description: U1 spliceosomal RNA
Rfam family: U1 spliceosomal RNA
About the family: U1 is a small nuclear RNA (snRNA) component of the spliceosome (involved in pre-mRNA splicing).
Source: Rfam by way of RNAcentral